RNAcentral lists this ribosomal RNA (448 nucleotides) under uncultured bacterium. RNAcentral's name for it is "bacterial SSU rRNA". It matches the Rfam family "Bacterial small subunit ribosomal RNA", at positions 355 to 825 of the family's 1533-position model. The record is from RNAcentral.
UGGGGAAUAUUGGACAAUGGGCGCAAGCCUGAUCCAGCCAUGCCGCGUGGAUGAUGAAGGCCCUAGGGUUGUAAAGUCCUUUCGGCGGGGAAGAUAAUGACGGUACCCGCAGAAGAAGCCCCGGCUAACUUCGUGCCAGCAGCCGCGGUAAUACGAAGGGGGCUAGCGUUGCUCGGAAUCACUGGGCGUAAAGCGCACGUAGGCGGAUUCUUAAGUCGGUGGUGAAAUCCUGGAGCUCAACUCCAGAACUGCCUCCGAUACUGAGAGUCUUGAGUCCGGGAGAGGUGAGUGGAACUGCGAGUGUUAGAGGUGAAAUUCGUAGAUAUUCGGAAGAACACCGGUGGCGAAGGCGGCUCACUGGCUCGAUACUGACACUGAGGUGCGAAAGCGUGGGGAGCAAACAGGAUUAGAUACCCCCGUAGUCCCUGAGCGGGCUGGCAAGGCGCAU